GAAGGUAGGAGGAGGGGAGGGUUUAAGGGGAAAGAGAAUGAGUUCUGUUUUGGACAUAACUGAGUUUAAGCUGUCUACAGGAUAUUCAGUUUGAGGUGUCUGAAAGGCAGCUGAAGAUGUCAGUUUAGAGGUCAGCAGAGAAACUGAAAUAGGAAAGGUAGAUUUAAGAAUCGUCAGCACAGAGAUGAUAAUUAAAUCCAUAGGAAGUGAUGAAGUGAAGGGAAUGAGUGGUAAGAAUGGAAGAGUGAGCUUCUAAGGCAGAGGGAGAAGGAUUGCCUGGUGGCAGUGAGGGCCCGGUAGAGGUGUGUAACUAACUUGUAGUGAACCCAAUCAGAACCAUGGUCUGAUUUUCUCCACCUGGGCAGGAUUGUAAAUAUGAGGGGCCAGGGAGGGACUCAAGAGAAGAGAACAAUGUAGAUUUGAACUGAUUCACCAAGGGUCGCUAUGGGGAGAGAGGAGAGCCUGGGAGAGAGCUGAGGAGUCAAAGACCAGGAGGUGACAUACCAGUAAAGAGCAGGGUUUGGUAAGGGAAGGCAGAUGGAGAGGGGGAAGGAUUGUCUGGCAGCUGUGAGGGCCCUUCCAGGUUGUGUAACAUAAAUUUGUAGAGAACUCGGGCAGGAUGGGAUUCUCUCCAUCUGCAUUUAGCAGCAGGUGUGAAGGUGACACAGUGGGAGUGAUCCAAGGCUGAGGCUUGUCUGGGCGGAACCAGUGGUGCGAUAGGGAUCGAGGGAUUCUAGAAAGGAGGACAGUGUCCAGUUGAAUUGGUUUGCCAAGGAAUCAAAAUGGUGAGAAGAGGAGAGAGUGGUCAGCGCAGGGGAGGUGGCCUGGGAGAGAAUUGAGGGGGUCAAGGGUUUAGAGGCCAUCACGUGGAUGAAGAGCGGGGCUGUGUAAGGGAACAUGGAGGAGAAGGGAAAAGCCCAUAGAUCAUGCUCGGCUGUAGGAGAUUCCGGAAUUCCAGACAAUGGAGGUGAGUAACCAUGGAGGGGGAUGCCAAGAUCCAGGGCUUGGCCAUCUUUGGGUGUGGCCGGGGGGGUGGUGGAGGAGUUGAGCCAGGUCUCCACCCGAAGUUGUGCACUACUGUAAGCCGCCCAGCCAGGAUUCGAAUCCGGGUCAUCUGCCUCCAAAUGCAGGACUCUCUGUCCUUCCUGCCUCUUUGUGCCUUCCCUACUGGCCUUCACCUUUUUCUGUCGCAAACUGGACUCUUCAUUGAAGCCAUCAAAAGCGUGAGAGGACAGUGUUUAAGUGUCGCGUUAAUUGGAGUGAUAGUUACAGGGAGGAUGAGGAUCUCUAGACAGGCAAUUCUUUUCUCGGGGGGAGGGGGCUGACCAGGCUUCCUUCCUGGGUGUAGCCUGAUGUGACUGAGAGGCUGGCCUUGGGGGAGAGACCCUUCCCCAGCCCCUCCCCCCUCCCUGGCAGCUCCACAGGACGCCCAGCGGUGCCUCAGUGUGGCGUUGGGGACCACCUGGUGAGAAUCCCAGCAGUUAUCAUAGGCUCCUGCCUCUUUUGACAUUUUAUAAAAUAAAUUCCUUUGAAUCACAGGGAUAACAACGAUCACACUUGAAGCUUUGCAAAGUGCUUUACAGAUAGCCGAUUUUAUCCUGGACGACUCUGAGAGCCUGUCCACAUUCCCACGAUGCCCUGGGUACCCAAGGGGCUCCUGCCAAGGAGAAGCCAGGAGGCCAGUCCUGGGCGGUAACAUCAGCCCCAGACGAGGACGUCCAGGACCAGCCCUUCCGGAGAGAAAAGCCGAGGGAUCCCUGCUAGCUUGAGAAGGGAUGGCCUGUCUGGUGCCCUGCUCUGACAGCAGCUUGCAUUUUAUCACCUUCAAGGCAUUUCUUCCUUAAUUAACAGACCAGAUAAAGAGCUUCCUCUCAGACGAAUGUACCUGUUUGAAGGCAGAACAGUGAAUGAAUUGACGGCAGCUUCAGAGUGCUACAGUCCAUCAGCUUGUCUACACGUGACUGUGUUUAGAGUUUUGAAGUUUACGACUGAGAAUUGUAAAUCAAAUAAUUGUGUGGGGACUAUGGCUGUUUGGUUCAUGCCUGACAGAAGGAUGGAUUUCUUUAUUGUUACCUCCUAAGGUAAAGAGGAACCAGGAGGCUCUGACUCUAGGUAGACUGAGUGAAAAAACGAGGCACCAAGCAAGAAUUUUUGACGCCAUAGGGAGAAGCAGGCAAGUGAGCUGAAUGCAGAAACAGUCACAGGAAACAGAGACCAGAAGUCGAGGAAAGCUUCCAGCAGACCCAGCUAACUCCUCAGCUGGUCUGAUGGGAGCCUGCUGAUCGGGAGAGAGGCAUUACUUUGCUAGAGGAAGGCUAGAUUCCCACCCAUUGGACUCUGAGCUUCUUGAGAGCAGAGAUUGAUAGGGUUUUGUUUUGUUUUUUUGCCUUUCUUUGUCUCUCCAGUGCACAGUACCUGACAGGGGUAGGUACUUAAUAAAUGAUUGUUGACUGAGUAGCCCUGGAGAUCACAAUGCCCUCAAAAUGUAGGGUUAUGCAUCAUGUCACAAGUCUGGAAGCUUGGGAGGAAUUCUGACCCAGGCCCCACUGACCAGCACACUCCACCACCCACCCAGCCUUCCAUUGCCUUGCUCCCACCCCGGCCACCCAGAGGAGGAGCAGCUGCAGCAGCAGCAGAGUGGGAACAACCCAGACCCCACCCGGCACUCUCUGCAACACCCCUUGGAGACACACACCACUCCCCAGUGUCUGCUCUUGAUGCUGUAACCCUAAUUCUAACGCAAACUAACCCAGCUCCCACCUCCCUUUCUCUCAUCCUAAUUCUUUUAAGCUGACCUCACCCACCCCUUAUACUGUGCCCUCUGAAAUUCCUAUUCCAUAAGGAACACAUGUCCCUCCAUCCUGGUCCUUCCAUCUACUAGAUCCACGCUUCUGGCCAUCCUCUCCAAGUAAGGGAUGAAUCUUUUCUGCCAAUCCUCAAGAAACUGGCCCCUAGAAGGGACGUUGGAAUAAGGACAUACAGUUUGAAAUCCCCAUACAUAGUGGGUGAUGUGGGACUGGAGCUCAAAAGAGACUGGGGAUGGGUAUAUAGAUUUGGAAGCCAUCUUCAGAGAGAUGGUAGUUAACCUCAUGGAAGCUACUGAGGUUAUCAAAUGGGAGUGUAGCAGGAGAAGAGAAGAAGGUCUAGGACAGUCAGUCAGUCAGUCAAUAAACAUUUCUUAAGCAUCCGCUAUGUGCCAGACAGGGAGCCUUUAAGCACUGGGUGAAAGAAAAGAGGUGAAAGAUAAUCCAUGCUCUCAAGGAGUUAAUCAUCUAAUGGAGGAGGCAACAGGCACGUAAAUAUGUAUGGUCAGUAUAGAGGAUAAAUAGGACAGACCCUUGGGGGCACAGCCACAGGUAGAGGGAGAAAUAUGCAUGAUGAGCCAGCAAAGGAGAUGGAAGGAUGGCUGGGAGAGAGGUGUGGCCAAGGGAAAUGGGUCUAGAGUGUUCAGGGCUUGGUGGGGGGUGAGAGUGGGAAUAAGGAGAAGAGGCAGAGAGGCCAAGGGAGAUGAGCUGAGAAAAGGUCAUUCAAUUCAGUGCUUAGGAGGAUGUUGGUAACUGGGGAGAGGGAAGGUUUUCAGUAAAGUGGUGAGGGGAGAAGCCAGAGGAAGUAGAGGCAGUAGGAUUCUUGUUAGAUGUUUGACUAUGAAAGGAAGAGAUGCAACCCAGGGCACCAUGUUUUCAGGUGGUGGGGAAGAAAACCAAUAGAGUGUGAGAGAUGGAAGAGAUGGUGUAGGGAAUGAAAAAGGGGACAAGAAGGUAUGGAAGAGAGAGGAGGGUCAGGGCCAGGGUUAGGCAUAGAUAAUAGACUGGAGAUAAAUUUAAGGUAGUGGUUAGGCUUUGAGAUGGGGUUUGUCUAGAGAUAGAUAGGAGGUUAGGAACAGGGAGAGGUCAUAGAUCUUGGGCUAGAAGGGUCCAUCACUUGGUUCAGCCCUUUCACUUCAUUCAUGUGCAGAGGGAAGUCCAGAGGUGCAGAUGAGGGAGAGGAGGGCAUAAGCACCUACUAUGUGCCAGGACCUGUGAGAAUCCGCUUUACAAAUAGGAUCUCAUCCGAUCUUCUAAAGGACUCAGCCAGAGUCAUCCAGGGAGUCAUGAGUCAGGCUGGGAUCUGAGCCCAGGACUGUCUCUGGAUGCGGCAAGGAAUCUAGACAGUCUCCAAGGACCAACAUUGGGAUGGAUCGUAUGGCUUUUCUCUGAGCACCAGCCCAGUGAAAUCAGGAGCGCUGCUAUAGCAGACAGUACCUCUUCCUGUCCUAAGUUACAAGGGUUGCUGUCAGUGUUUGUGGCGGAAGCCUGCUCCCUGAGGGACUUCCUACCUUUUCCAACUUUGCAGGCCCUCUGUCGCCUUCGUGGAUAGAGGAUAUGCAGUGCUUUGGCAUUCCAGCACUGAUGCCCCCUCCAAAAAUCCCCUUCCAGCCUCCUGUUCUGCUUCUUACCUUACUUGGGGUAGGUCAGUAUGGUGAAUCUUCACCCCUGACCCUAAACUCCUCCUGAGCAAAGCAAAAACUCUGCACCGAUUUGUCUGGAGGGAAACAUUGGCCCCUGGAAACAUGGGGUUAGUCAGAUUUCCCAUCUCAGGCUGCUUGGAAGUCCCUGCUCAGUAGCUCCUCCGCCCUCAUCCGCCCUCCCCAGUGAUAAGUAAUCUCCUUUUUGACUCAGCAGUCUGAUGACUAAAGGUCAGCGGAGCUGGAGGAUGGCUUUCCAUAUCUGCAGUCAUGGGGUGGCUGGGCAGGGAAGGCAACAAAGGGAAAAUUAGCCCUUCUUGGGAAAAGGGCUGAGAAAGUAGAGGAAGGUCAGAGAGGUCUGCCCAGGAAGGCCAGGGAAGGCUUCACGACCCCUUUAGCCAGACUUGGGAGGAGGAAGUGGAACUCAGCCAAGCCAGAGCACCUCGGGAGCCCAUCCUCAGCAUGUAUAAGAGUGGGGGCAAACAAGAGUGCUGGGAUAGGGCCAAUGGUCUCUGGCCGUCUUCUGAGAUCCCUCUCCAAGAGGCUGGAAGUCAAGAAGGAGGACGCUGUGUGCUUGGGCACUCCACCCCUCCAUCCUGCUCCUCCCACCCUCCACAUAGUAGGGGUUUAAUGAAUGCUCAACUGAUUGAUUGAUUGGGGAUGCAACCUGGUCUCCUUCUCAGAACAUCAUCUUCCAAUCUUUGAUUUUUCAUCAGGAGUCUUUCUCGACUAUGUGGACUGAUUUUUCUUGAUAACUAAGGCUAUGGGUAGAAUAGUGUAGAAGAACUUUGGAGGAGGACUUGGUUUAAAUCUCUGUUGAUUAUCUCCAAUUUAUCCUAUGUCCAUUUUGUUUCUGUAUAACUGUUUGCGUGACGUCUCACCCAUUAGACUAUGAGCUCCUUGAGAGCAAGGACCAUCUUUUGCCUCUCUUUCUGUCCCCAGUGCUUAGCACAGUGUCUAGCCCACAUUAGGUGCUGAAUAAGUGGUGCUUGUUGGUGGACUGACUGAAUCCCACUUCUGGGACUUGGGACUAUGGACAAGCCAAUGUCUUUGAGCCCUAGUCUCAUUAUCUGUAAAGUGGAGGUAAUAAAGUCACCUAUCUUAUAGCUAUACAGAUAAAAUGAGAUCAUUUGUGUAAAGAGCUUUGCAAACCUUCAAUGCUAUGUAAAUGUGAAUUAUUAUUAGUUUUCAUUGCUUGCCAUUGAAAGUCUGAAGUUUAACCACUACAUUUCCUAGUGAGUUAAAUUUCUGAUUUCUCUCUUUUGGUAGCCUGCCGAUUUUAUUGAGCUGUAUCUUGCCCUCUGUUUCCAAUACUUCUGUUCAGUUUUUUUGUAUUGUUCCCUGCUGCAUGAUAUUCAGAAAUUUUGAUUCAUAGUGCCUUUCUGGCAUACCUAUGAUCCUCAAAUAAGCUUACUUCAAAGUCAGUCACUAUGACUUGUAUAGACUCAAUAUGUUCCUCCAGGAUUUCUUUUGAUUCUAUUCUAAUUAAAUUUCACUUAUGGUUUUUUUUUAGUAACAAAAAUUCUCUUCUUUUUCAGAUCCUAUGCUGUUUUAGAGUCUUCUUAAUGACUCUCUAGUUGUCUACUCUCUUCUUUUUCUUUUAUGUUUCUUUGAGAAUUCUAAUUUCUGCACCAAUUUUCAUCUUUAUUUCUUUUAAUUAUUUCCUUAAUUAAGGAGUUUCUUCCUAUUCCUUCUGGGGAUUAUCUCUUUCACGAUGAUGUUUUCAAGUCACUCUCCCUGUGUGUAGUAUUUACUCACUGUGUUCUGUGUGCUUGUAGAUUGUUUGCUUUUCCGCCUCCUUUGAUGUAUCUCACUAUUAUUUUAUCUGAGCGGAAUAGGGGAGGGUGGACUUUUAUACAACCUUUCUCUCUGAAGGCUUCUUGUUUGUACUUUCUAUUCUGUCCAAAAAGGCAUCAAAUAAAAUCCUUGGU
Non-coding RNA from Phascolarctos cinereus (koala), 6375 nucleotides. The record is from RefSeq and is a predicted model, not a curated record. Lineage: Eukaryota; Metazoa; Chordata; Mammalia; Diprotodontia; Phascolarctidae.